AAAAUCUACAAAAGUGAACUGUAAGAGUUCACGAACGUCUGCGUGCACAAUUAUACAAACUUUACGGAACCAACGAACGAAAGCUUACAGCGUUUUACAGAAUCUCUCCAGAACCAACCUAUAAGAAGUUUGGAAAUCGUAUAGAAGCUUCGUAAGCAAAAGAGGCGAUAGAAUACUGCAGAAAUUGAGUAUCGAAUCGCGUUAAAAGAUCGAUCUGGCAUUCUGAUCCAACGUAAUAAUCUUCUUGACCAAGUAAAAGCAAAGUGUUUAACUACGAUCGAACGUGAGUGCCCUGUGUGAGUUCCUAGAACUCAGCUAUAAGAAGCUUGCAAACCUUAGAGAAGCAAGAAAGCCAAUAACAGAACACCACGGAAACUGGCUAUCGAUCGACGUUAAAAAAGGUCAAUCUGCUAACCAAAUCCAACGAAAUAAUCUACUUAAUUAAUUAGAAACAAAGCGUUUGGCUAUAAUCGAAAGUGAGUGCCCUGACCCUGCAACCGACUGAGAACUUUCGUCGAUUGUCUUGCCGAAGAUCUACCGGUCGCGUGAUUCAUCGAGGCCACCGGUUGAGCAGGUCAGGGACGCGAGUUCUGCGGCUUCAGGCCGGUGCACAUCCAACCUGGAUUUCUACACGAUUUAACGCGCGUCGGGCUUCGGGGACGCUGUGAGCGUGUCGGCGUGCAGACGGCCCGGCAUUAUCUCUGCAACGCGACGAUAAAGUUCCGCACGAGGGACACGAUAAAAGCACGCGGGUUCUGCUUGAUUAAUCGCGCGUCUCUAUUCACCGAUUUUGUUCUCGUUAGGACAAUCCGUGCUGGACCGAGCGCGACGAAAUAUAGCGAGGACGUUGCUCGGGGUUGGAAAGUGAGAAUAAUAAAUACAGGAGGUGAAUCUUCCGAUGGCAGGUGAAUUGUGAAGUGAAACGUGGAAUUGGAGGAAGUGGGAAGCAGUUGGGAUUGGAGAAACUGCAAAGUGAGAAGAACAGACACGUGUCCACGAAGAGCCGGUGAAAUACAACACAAACUACACUACGAAUCUUCUAACGCUACCUCCAACAGCAAACGUUAACGCAAAUCCUACAAACAGACACGAGUCAAACUCGAACAAAAUUCCAGGGUAAAACUGAAAAUUGUGCUAAUCCAAACCGAAAGAUCAUCCAUCAUCGAGUUAUUCCAACACUCCUGAGGCUUUCUUUUUUUUUUUUUCUUUUCUUGAGGAAAGCGGAGAAGCGUCCACCAAGGGGCGGUCGAUUGCAAACAAUUUCGCAACAGCAACGACGCGACAAAUUACCGUACGGUCGAGGAGGGAAAAAAAAACACGAGGAAAUUAGUCCCGUUCGGAGAAUGUGUACGGUGUUGUCGCGUACGAGCUGCGAUGCCCGAGAGGGUAGCUGGAGGGGGUGGUCGUGGCGAAAAAAGGGGCGCAGUCGCGGCGAACGGCCACCCCCGCGGACACGCUUGCUCGCGCGGCGGCUUGGUAGUCUCGGUCAGUCGUUGGCGGCCGAAAGUCGUGCGAAACAGGAAACCGAUGGAGGGAAGAGAGGAAGAGACGGAGUGAAGACAGAUCGAACGAUUUACUCGAGAAACGGUUCACGACAUCGACAAGCACGUGCUCCGAGCGUAAAAUAAGAAGAAAGAGAAAGGGAAAUAUGUUGCACAAGCACGGACGGAGGAAAAGCGGAGGAGGAAACGAAGAUCAAGGACAUCGGAAAGGUUCUGGCGGGUCUUGGCACUGGAAGAAUUCACAGAUGUGCAGUGUAUAAUCGUGGAUCUUGCAAUGCCAUCACUUGCUGGAUACCGAUUCACCGUGGACGAUCGAUCAUACCGAUAAUAAUUUCUAAUUAUUUUCAAAAUCGUUCCCAUCUUUGGCAAAUAUUUCUUCUUUUUUAGAGAAAGGACAACUUAACUCGUUAAACGGAAAAGACGAAUUAUAUUGUUAUUUGGAUUAUUUGGUUUCGAUACGAUCAGUUCUCUAUUUAACUUUGCUACUUUUUCUUGAUAAUUUUCGAUAGUCAAAUUCUUCUUGUUUGCUAAGAUGAAAGCAAGACCGAAAUAUAAAUGUUCGAAGAUUGCAGCAGGGUUAACUUCACGUUGUCAGGAUCCAACCUUUUACGUGGCAUCAACCUGGGAAAAUAAAUUACAUCAUAUUGCGGGAACCGAGAUCAACUUAAUAGAGAUUCAUUCGUCUUUAUUAACUUUUAAUUUCGUGGGUAUAAAAGUCCGUAAAAUGAUCUAUAACGAGGAGCCCCAAUUAACAGAUUUUGAUGGUGAACGAUUGUUGAAUUUUUCGUUUUUUUUAGUGUAGUAGUGUAAAGUUAAUGGUUCCUUUUAAUAAGAUUUUCUAUCAAUUCUCAAUAGCAUUACAAAUGUAUAAUAAUUUAUAACACCCUUUAUUUUCAUUUUCAAACAAUUACAAAGCCCUACCAUCUCGAUUCAAUCAAAUUCCAAAUCCAUUAGCAAACUCUAAAGAAGACGAGCAAAAGGUGACGAAAAUCGUUUUGCAACGAAGCAUUUUACAAUAUCGAACAUGCAGCUCUAUUAUACCGACUCCUAAUGAUCUUAACAAUCGUGUCAAUCACGAGAGUAAAGAUCUUGCGACACGAAAAGACAGGUAGCUAGGUGGCCACUCGAUCGAAUAUCGAUUCUAGGAGGAAUAUCGAAGAGGAUGGUUGCCUGGAGAAUCGUUCGAGCGUGUUGUUCAUUUUAAUCGGUGAAAGUAGAUGCAUUGGAGAAGAUUCACUUCGCUCGAUGCAUCUACGGUUGCACCGUCGAGCGUGUCGUUUCUGUUGUCGAUCGAAGAUUAACUACAUCUUCGUAGUGUUGCGAAUGAGACGCACGAAACCAUCUCAACGACGAUUUGCUCCGUUUACUUUCGAACAAAAACCGUUUUGCAUUUACAUUCGUAGAUCGAGUAACGUAUUUUGUAUCUUUGGUCAAAGGGAGAGACGCGUUUAAGAAGGAACAAUAAGAACAAACAUAUACAAUUGAGAUAAUAGAAGUUAAAAAUGAAAGUGAUAAAGAAUGGUUGGAGAGAAUAAUAAGUAAAACAAUAAAAACUAGUCUAAGAACUACUAUUUCAUAAUAAUCUUAACAAUAUGAUUUUCUUAAUCGUAUAGAGAUAUAUUUCUCUGACGGUGAAUUAAAUGGUACAACUUUUCUUCGUUGUUGCAGAAAAUUAUUUUAUUUUUUUAUUUACUAUCGAUUUCCACAGUAGUCAAUAUGUCAAUAUUUACAUGAAACGGAAAUAGAAAAUUGCUAGGCGAUAAUCGUACUUAGUCUGUGGCUAAAUUAGUACUAAUUCUAUCUAAACUAAUUUUUAUCAGUGUUUUCUUUAAAUGUCGAUAAGCAGCAAAACGAUCAAUGUUACGUAGGAUCAGUUUAAAAGAGAUAUCGGUUAAAUUGAUAAAAAAUCAUAUAUGGAAGCGUUAAUGAAGGAAGGAAAUUUACGAUCCUUUCACAACGUCAAUGAUCGAUAAAUUACUUUGCUCUUCUCAUAAACUUUCUCAAACGCAAGAGGUAUUUAGAAAUGAAAUUAACUCGUUUGAAGCACUGAAUUGAUAGAAGAAUUCAGAAAAAUAUAUUGCGAGGAAAAUAAUGAUAUUUAUCGUUAACGCGUUAUUGGAUUAGAU
This is a long non-coding RNA of Bombus impatiens (common eastern bumble bee), 3628 nucleotides long. RefSeq lists it as uncharacterized. NCBI's taxonomy places the organism in Eukaryota, Metazoa, Arthropoda, Insecta, Hymenoptera, Apidae. The record is from RefSeq and is a predicted model, not a curated record. The transcript has 3 exons.